GGGGGACAGAGUGGGUGGGGAGGGGAGCCGCCAUACAGUGGCCAGGACCAGCUUUGCCCAAGUGGUGGCAACCGCAUGACCACAGGAACGAUGGCGUGAGCCCCGUGGCAACCUGGAGGAAGGAAAGCAAUCAGCUUGAUCAAUGCCUACUGUAAAGACGGCACCGCCCUCCGGAGGUCCUUUCUCAGCCCUGGUGUUCGGACAGCCACAUCCCCUCGCAGCAGGGGGAGGCCUGAAGCAUAGAGGGGCCCAUGCAGGUCUAUUCUGUUUCAGCGAAUUGCCUGGGAAAUAAUCCAGGAUCCAUUUCGUGUGGUCAUCUUGUCUCCCUGGUCCCCUCCAGCCUUUCCUCAUCUUUUGUGACCUGGUCACUCUGGAAGGGCGCUGGCCAGUUAGUCCACAGGAUGGGCCUCCCCUGGGGCUUUUCUGAUGCUUCCUUAUGAUGGCACUGGCAUCCUGAGGGGGAGGACCACAGAGAGGAGGUGCUCCUCAUCACACCACAUGGGGGUCCAUGCACCAGUGCCACUGCUUUCCAGGGCUCUUCACCUUCAUCACUGGUGGAGGUGGCGUCUGCCAAGAAGCAGAAAGUUGAGGCUUAGAAGGUGCACGGCCCUACCUCUUCCGAGGUGCCCCUGCGGGCUGUCUACAGACCAGGCAGCACAUGCCUGAUAGCAGCUGCAUAAGGAAAAGCAGGAGCCAGCUCGUGCACAGUGGCCUCAAGUGUGCACUGGGCAUGUUCUCUGCCUCACCAUCCCUGUGUGACAGAUGAAGCAUGGCAAGCCAGGCUCCAGAGAAGCAUCCUGAGGACCAGUGUUCCUAGGGACCUCAUUCUUCUGACCUCAUUCCUACAACGUUUUGUCACUGCAAAGGAAAUCACCAAGGCCAGCAUGACAGCCCUCAACAGAAGCCAAGGCCAAGUCCUCGAACUUCCUAGUCUGCACAAUGACACUUCUGAUGAAACUGAAAAUGCCACCAGGGAGAAGCAGCUGAACUUCAAGGACCACAGAGGGCCAAGUGCAGGAGUAAGAGGCUGGCGUGCUGACAGUGGCCAAGGGCAUUGGAGGGAAGGACCUGUCAUCACUGGGCCAAGGAAGGAACUCCAGACUGCCUACUUCCAGAGGGCCUGCUGAGAACCCCAAAGAGCUCUCUCAACAAACACACCCACGAGUUCCAGGAGUGAGGCUGCAGGGAACAGCCUCACUCUCAGAGGGGAUACAGAAUUGUUCCACUGGACAAGGGCUGGGAUCGUCAUAGGAUGCCGUUGGCCUGUGGUUUCCAACAGAGGUGCAGUUCAUUGAACUGUGGUCUACAGUCCAUUCUCUAACUUGGGGACCCUUGAAGAAGUGUGGAAUCAUGACAACAACCCUGUUGGGAGACACUAUUAUUCCCAUCACAUGGAUGAGCACACGGAGGCAAAAGGAAGUUAUAUGAUUGUCUGAGAUCACCCAGUGAAGACUGUGUGGCUGGGAGUUGUCCCCAGUGUUAUCUGCACGCUGCUUCCUUUUGAUGCCUGGCCCUUCUUUAUCAAAAGAAGCAUUGGCAGAAUCUGGGUGUUUAUGGGUCAGCUCAAAAUAAAUUACUUUAUAUGUCA
Long non-coding RNA from Homo sapiens (human), 1588 nucleotides. Ensembl annotates it as long intergenic non-protein coding RNA 1471. The record is from Ensembl. Lineage: Eukaryota; Metazoa; Chordata; Mammalia; Primates; Hominidae.